ACCUAUAAACUAGCCCGCCUAACUGAUUAAAAUAAAAAAUAUAGAUCAAUUAACAAAAUCUACAAUUUUAAAACAAACCAUUUUUCCACCUAAGUAUGGGAGACAGAAAAGGACCAAGGAGCCAUAGAAAAAGUACCGCAAGGGAAAGUUGAAAAGAAGUGAAUAAUUAUAUAAGUAAAAACAGCAGAGAUUUAACCUUGUACCUUUUGCAUCAUGAUUUAGCCAGAAUUUCUUAAGCAAAGAGAACUUUAGUUUAAGCCCCCGAAACUAGACGAGCUACUCCGAGGCAGCCUAUCAUAGGGCUAACCCGUCUCUGUGGCAAAAGAGUGGGGAGAACUCCGAGUAGAGGUGAUAAACCUACCGAGCCUAGUUAUAGCUGGUUAUCUAGGAAAUGAAUAGAAGUUCAGCCUUCCAAUUUCUCCAUUCCUGCAUGUAUAACUAACAUUGUUGAUGAGAAGUUAAAAGAGUUAGUCAAAGGAGGUACAGCUCCUCUGAACUAGGACACAACCUUUAAAGGUGGUUAAAGAUCAUAUUAAUUAAGGAUUUUGUUUUAGUGGGCCUAAAAGCAGCCAUCUAUCUAAAAAGCGUUAAAGCUUAGACUAACCCCCCCCCCUUCUUAUUUUGAUAAAAUAAUCUUACCCCCUAUAGUUACUAGAUUAUCCCACAGCCAUUGUGGGAGUAAUUAUGCUAAAAUGAGUAAUAAGAGGGGUUUAACCCCCUCUCCCCGCACUCGUGUAUAUCGGAUCGGACCAUCCACCGAAUAUUAACGAACCCAAAGCCAGAGGGAAAAAUACCCUAAAAUAAAAACAAGAAAUACCCAUUAAACAUAAUCGUUAUUUUUACACAAUAGUGCCCGAAGGAAAGACCCUAAGGAAAAGAAGGAACUCGGCAAACAUGAGCCUCGCCUGUUUACCAAAAACAUCGCCUCUCGUAAAUUGAAAAUGAGAGGUCCCGCCUGCCCUGUGACUAUAUGUUUAACGGCCGCGGUAUUUUAACCGUGCAAAGGUAGCGCAAUCACUUGUCUUUUAAAUGAAGACCUGUAUGAAUGGCAUAACGAGGGCCAGACUGUCUCCUUUCCCUAGUCAAUGAAAUUGAUCUCCCCGUGCAGAAGCGGGGAUACGCCUAUAAGACGAGAAGACCCUAUGGAGCUUUAGACACUAGAAAGUCCACGUUCAACAACUCUAUAAAAAGAAAAAACUUAGUGGCACCUUAUCUACUUGUCUUCGGUUGGGGUGACCGCGGGGGACAAAAAGCCCCCAUGUGGAACGGGAAUUUUAUUCCUAAAACCAAGAAAUACCUUUCUAAGCAACAGAAUUUCUGACCAAAAUGAUCCGGCAGAGCCGAUCAACGGACCAGUUACCCUAGGGAUAACAGCGCAAUCCUCUCCCAGAGUCCCUAUCGACGAGGGGGUUUACGACCUCGAUGUUGGAUCAGGACAUCCUAAUGGUGCAGCCGCUAUUAAGGGUUCGUUUGUUCAACGAUUAAAGUCCUACGUGAUCUGAGUUCAGACCGGAGUAAUCCAGGUCAGUUUCUAUCUAUAUAGUGAUUUUUUCUAGUACGAAAGGACCGGAAAACGGGGGUCAAUGCUUAAAGUACACCUCAUUCCUACCUAAUGAAAUUAACUAAAUUAGCCAAAGGAACACAAUUCACCAAGCCUUAGAUAAAGGCGC
RNAcentral lists this ribosomal RNA (1670 nucleotides) under Galaxiella nigrostriata (black-stripe minnow). RNAcentral describes it as "16S rRNA". The stretch from base 94 to 1561 matches the Rfam family "Bacterial large subunit ribosomal RNA". The record is from RNAcentral. Lineage: Eukaryota; Metazoa; Chordata; Actinopteri; Galaxiiformes; Galaxiidae.